This 28-nucleotide non-coding RNA is filed under the name Rattus norvegicus (Norway rat). Lineage: Eukaryota; Metazoa; Chordata; Mammalia; Rodentia; Muridae. The record is from RNAcentral.
GAAAGCUAGAUAGAUGGAGAACAGGAAU